This is a long non-coding RNA of Heterocephalus glaber (naked mole-rat), 1899 nucleotides long. The record is from Ensembl. Lineage: Eukaryota; Metazoa; Chordata; Mammalia; Rodentia; Bathyergidae.
CUUGGGACAAGUGGGUGUUACCUGCUUCUCAAUCCAAAGUAGGUGGUGGUCAUAAAAUCAGGAUGGUAAAUAUUUUAUAGAUAUCAUCAAAGAUAACUAGUUACCUACUCUUACUUUUCUUUCCAUCUCUCACCAUACACAUCUAAAUGAUCACAAGAACUUUGACUUUUAAAUCCCUUUUGAGUUUGUCUUCUUUUCUCUGAGACAUUCUCUUGCCUUUUGUGAGCUAUUGCAAUAGUCUUCAUCUGCUUGACCUCCCUAAGACAGUCUUCUUUCCUCCAAUCCAUCCUUUCGCUAUCCUGUCAUAGGAGUCAUUUCCAAAUACAUAAAUCAUGAGUUUGUCAUUCUUUUUAAAUCCUUUAGUGCAUCCCAGAAGCCACAUGUCCAGAUUCCCCAGUAUGGAUUGCAAGGCUUUACUGUUCCACUCAAUAGGACUGGAUUUCCCAGGGUGGUCAUGAGCCCAUUUUCCUCAAGGUUUAUAUUCCUCUUCUCUCAUGAUGGCCCUGGUGUACCAGUCAUCAUGAGUCAUCAUAUUCAUCCCUGUGGAAUUUCUACUAUUUCAAAAUGACAAAAAAAUAAAUCCUGGACAUUCAUCUAGGCUUCUCCAUAGAUGCAGGUGAAGAGCUAUCUUUAAGCUAUUCUGUGGAGGUACUUACAAGUGUCCUAACUCUCUCUGAAUUGAUAGUUGGUGUACCACAGCCUACAGUUUUUUUCUUUCUCAGUGUUUCUAAUGAAACUAACAGAUGUCCACUAUUGAUCGCCACAGUCAAUUACUCACCAACAGCUCACAUUAUCCCAGGUUCACUUUCUACCUAUAUAUCAGACAAAUCCACCAUAGGUGAUGGCUUUAAAGUUAAUGCUACAGCAUGCCUAGCAUUGUCAUUACCCCACUUGUCACUGGCAACUGAUGAGUGAUUCAGGCCCAGAAUUUCAUCCUGAAGUAUUAAUAUCUGAGAAUACAUCUGAAAGAUAUAAAUUGUUUUAGAUAGUGUUCUGACCACCAGUUCAUUUCCACAACCUUAAACAAAAAUGGGCAAAGCCCAAAACAUUGUUAGCAUGAGCAGGUAGUUCAAUUUUUGAAGUGAUCUCAAUAAAUGGAUAUAACUAGCUAAGGUUUAAUGGGGGAGGACAAGAAGUCAACAUAACAGAACAUUAUUGAGUUGUUUACAGGCAAGAAAAAUGGUGUUCAUUCCUCCUGGUAUUAUCUAAAGGUAUAUGAAAUGUUUCACAGGAUUGUGAAUGUAAAGAUCAUUCUGGAAGGGUACUCACCCAUUGUCUCUCAUGCCAAAUUGAUUAAGCUUUACCUCAGAGGUAGUGAUGUAGCUGCUCUAUGAAAGCACCCAUUGCAGGCCCAGGAUUUGAGAUUGGACAUUUCAUCGGGCAAUAAACAAGGAUGUGUGCCAUGUCUUGGAGGAAAUGCUUUUAGUGCAAAGUGAUUCAAGCUUACUGAGAAAAGUUUGUAGCAGUGGUAGCUAGGAAGCAGUGAUGAGGUCAUAAAGAUAUGAAAUGGCCAUGAAAAUAUUCAAUAUAGUAUUCAAACAUAGAUUUGUUUGAUUCUACAGCCUAGGCACUAGAUUAUUACAUGUAAUAUUUCUAAUAAACCAGGACAAAAAUUUGACACCUACAGCUAAUGUGUUCUCAAAUAUUUUCAUUGUUUUGGAUGAAUUUAAAUCCAUAAUAUUCAUUACCAAAUGUGUGAUAGAUUAACAAGAUUUUAGACAAAAAUGAAGGAUAUUUUCCAGAAAAUUUUCUUUAAGCCUAUAUGUAGUAAAAUCCAGUAUAAAGUAACUUUAAAAAUAACUGAUAAUUAGCACACAGUAAGGGUCAUACAAAUAUCCUGACACAAAACGCAUGCUUUCUAAGGCUUUUAUGAGAACAUAAUUCUUUUGAAACCUUUCA